Molecule: long non-coding RNA, 599 nt
Organism: Macrobrachium nipponense
Lineage: Eukaryota; Metazoa; Arthropoda; Malacostraca; Decapoda; Palaemonidae
Exons: 3
Source: RefSeq, a predicted model, not a curated record
UCUUCUACAGGCACUAGUGUGCUACAGGGUGCUUCAUGAGCAAGAGCCCAUGUUGGCAUAAGACUAUCAAGACACUGACAUGAUGUUAGAUUGCAAAGGCUUUGCAGACAGGGGACGCCAUUCAUACCAAAGCAUCAGUGGUGGAAUGCACUUCUCUGAAUCCACUUGGAGCUGCUGAAAAUACUUUUACCCUCCAAAUACCAUGUGAGAUUAGAAUACUGAAAAGGUCCAGUUUCAUCUUCCCCAGGGCACGUCGUGGGAUCUAAUCCAGCUAAAACAAGAAGAGGGCUGACUGACACGUCUGUCAAGGCCUAAAAGGCAGGUGGGAGCGGCAGUGCGUGAAGUCCAACUGCCAGCGGGGAUGAAAAUCCCUCUGCGCAUAGCGAUCUCCAGUGUCCUGCAACUGUGUCUCGUCUUCCUCUAUGACAUUAUUUCAACGGAAGGACGAACUGGAGAAGGACCUCUGUUGAAAAAGUACGCAGCCACAGAGCGUCCAGGAGGGAUGAAUCAACUUCUGGAAGUUAUUGGUGAUGUGGUCAAAGUUCACUUUCCCGAUUGCCAUCUGCUGAUGCUCAAAGAAACGGACGAUGCACACGCUG